GGGAUUGUAGCUCAGUGGUUAGAGUGCUUGUCUAGCACACAUAAAGACCUGGAUUCGAUCCUCAGCACCA
RNAcentral lists this transfer RNA (70 nucleotides) under Ictidomys tridecemlineatus (thirteen-lined ground squirrel). Its description in RNAcentral is "Spermophilus tridecemlineatus (thirteen-lined ground squirrel) tRNA". It matches the Rfam family "tRNA". Rfam says of the family: Transfer RNA (tRNA) molecules are approximately 80 nucleotides in length. Their secondary structure includes four short double-helical elements and three loops (D, anti-codon, and T loops). Further hydrogen bonds mediate the characteristic L-shaped molecular structure. tRNAs have two regions of fundamental functional importance: the anti-codon, which is responsible for specific mRNA codon recognition, and the 3' end, to which the tRNAs corresponding amino acid is attached (by aminoacyl-tRNA synthetases). tRNAs cope with the degeneracy of the genetic code in two manners: having more than one tRNA (with a specific anti-codon) for a particular amino acid; and 'wobble' base-pairing, i.e. permitting non-standard base-pairing at the 3rd anti-codon position. Lineage: Eukaryota; Metazoa; Chordata; Mammalia; Rodentia; Sciuridae. The record is from Rfam by way of RNAcentral.